This 474-nucleotide ribosomal RNA is filed under the name uncultured bacterium. RNAcentral's name for it is "bacterial SSU rRNA". It matches the Rfam family "Bacterial small subunit ribosomal RNA", at positions 26 to 518 of the family's 1533-position model. The record is from RNAcentral.
AGGACGAACGCUGGCGGCGUGCCUAACACAUGCAAGUCGAGCGAUGAAGUUCUUCGGAACGGAUUAGCGGCGGACGGGUGAGUAACACGUGGGUAACCUGCCUUGUAGAGGGGGAUAGCCUUCCGAAAGGAAGAUUAAUACCGCAUAACAUCUUUUUAUCGCAUGGUAGGAAGAUCAAAGGAGCAAUCCGCUACAAGAUGGACCCGCGGCGCAUUAGCUAGUUGGUGAGGUAACGGCUCACCAAGGCGACGAUGCGUAGCCGACCUGAGAGGGUGAUCGGCCACAUUGGAACUGAGACACGGUCCAGACUCCUACGGGAGGCAGCAGUGGGGAAUAUUGCGCAAUGGGGGGAAACCCUGACGCAGCAACGCCGCGUGAAUGAAGAAGGCCUUAGGGUUGUAAAGUUCUGUUUACGGGGACGAUAAUGACGGUACCCGUGGAGGAAGCCACGGCUAACUACGUGCCAGCCGCCGC